CACAUUAUGAGGUUAGAGCAAACAUAUGCCGCAAGAAUCCACCUUCUUUUCUUCAUUUAAAGAAAGAAAAAAAAAAGAAAAAAUCCAUUUUUGACUUAAAUUCAGUUAUGUUUGCCUAUUGCCUCCUUGGUUUUUGUCAUGCAAUUCUCAGAUAUCUUGCUUGUGCAUUUCCUGAGUUGCAGAUCAUUGGUAUCCAACUGA
Non-coding RNA from Camellia sinensis, 201 nucleotides. Lineage: Eukaryota; Viridiplantae; Streptophyta; Magnoliopsida; Ericales; Theaceae. The record is from RefSeq and is a predicted model, not a curated record.